UCAUACUUGAAGUCGGCACAAUUCCAC
This 27-nucleotide non-coding RNA is filed under the name Bombyx mori (domestic silkworm). Lineage: Eukaryota; Metazoa; Arthropoda; Insecta; Lepidoptera; Bombycidae. The record is from RNAcentral. RNAcentral also lists the same sequence under 1 other name.